GGAAGGAGAAUCUUCAACAACAGGCCCCUGUGCAACAUCCAGGGGCGAAGAAUGUUCAAUAACAGGCCCCUGUGCAACACCCAGGGAAGGAGAAUCUUCAACAACAGGCCCCUGUGCAACAUCCAGGGGCGAAGAAUGUUCAAUAACAGGCCCCUGUGCAACAUCCAGGGUAAGUUUUUAGAUGCUAGGCUGCUAUUGUAACAUACUUUGAUGAGGUAUAUUCAGUUAGUGA
Long non-coding RNA from Portunus trituberculatus (swimming crab), 232 nucleotides. RefSeq lists it as uncharacterized. NCBI's taxonomy places the organism in Eukaryota, Metazoa, Arthropoda, Malacostraca, Decapoda, Portunidae. The transcript is spliced from 4 exons. The record is from RefSeq and is a predicted model, not a curated record.